RNAcentral lists this long non-coding RNA (282 nucleotides) under Vitis vinifera (wine grape). RNAcentral's name for it is "long non-coding RNA (VVIN_LNC007294)". Lineage: Eukaryota; Viridiplantae; Streptophyta; Magnoliopsida; Vitales; Vitaceae. The record is from RNAcentral.
UGACUAUGCGAAAGCCAUCUUAAGGAUUGCAAUAAAAUGAGCCAUUUGGACCACUUCGCACACAUAUGUGAAAAUUUCGUAUGUCUGUGCCAAAUAACAAAAAAAAUAAAAAAUAAAAAUAUGCAGCAAAUAUAAGCCUUUGUUUCAUUUUGCACCAUUAAGUGAAAACAAGCCCUCAUGCCAAAACUCUUCGUCUUCAUCGGACAUGAGAAAAUGAAAAGGUAGAAGACCAUCAGUCAUUUUUCCUUUUCAUCCACACUUUCUCAUAUCUCUUCCCUGCCC